UUAUUUAUUAAAACAGGUUGGUUCCACAGAUUACAUAUAUACAUAAUCAGCAAGGGACAGCACACAUGCACUUUCCAAGGGAGCAAAAUCCGUCGCACACUGCAAUACAAUCUUCGUCCGAACUACACACUCCCUUCAACGUUGGCCUCGGCCUGAAGCAAACCCUUCCUUCCGUCUCCGCCACCAUCCAACCUGUAACAACCAACAAAAUACACCUUCCAUUAUUACUCUAUUUAUUUUCAUUAUUUUUGUAAAAAUACAUACAAAAUUUAGACAACCAGCAGCCAGGAUUAUCUCUCGUUACCAGAAGCAACAGAUAACAGGAUGACCAACACAACCUCAUAAACCAUGAACAAGCAGGAGGAUCAAAUUACAGAAGCAAGGGUCAAGAAGAUGAACACAACUAGUGAAGCUUACUUUUUGUUAUGGGAGAAGAAGCAUUCAAAUCCGUGUUGGUCAUUCUUGAUUUAAGAGGAAAUCUAUCUUUCUAUACUAUUUUAUCUAUUUCUAGUUUUGGCAGUACACACUGAUUGAUGGAAUAUUGACAUGAAACUUAAUUUCUUUUUUAAGUUGAGAGAAAAUGAUGAAAAGGGGGAUGGAAGAGGAAGCUACGUGUGUAAAUUAAACAUGUGCAUGCUACCAUAGUUUAACAGCGGCGAUCAACAACUUAUUUAUUCAUUUCGAAGAUAACAACUUCAGUCAAUUUUAUACCAGAUUAAAAUUGUAUAACACGACCAUGACAAAGUCAACAAAUGACGGUACAAAUGCAUAAACCGUUCGAGCAAACUCCAUUAUACCACAUGUCGAUAUCGCAAGCUUUAACACAUUCAUCAUUUGAAGUACACUUUCCCUUGAACGACGGGCUCUGCUUGAAGCAAAUCUUUCCUUCCGUCUCCUCCAUCAUCCAUCCUAUUGAGUACCAGAAGCAAUGGAUAGAAAGACAAAUGCCACAAAUGUGAGUUUUUUCCAUCGUCCUGCCAUGUCUUUUUCUUCUUAAUCUUUCAGUUUCUUGUACUUUAAUUCCAAUGCCCUGCUUAGGAGUCAAUACCCCUUUUAUAUAUUGUGACUACCUCAUUUCCUUUCAUUUUAAUGUUUUCU
This is a long non-coding RNA of Cucumis melo (muskmelon), 1098 nucleotides long. RefSeq lists it as uncharacterized. Lineage: Eukaryota; Viridiplantae; Streptophyta; Magnoliopsida; Cucurbitales; Cucurbitaceae. The record is from RefSeq and is a predicted model, not a curated record. The transcript has 4 exons.